ACACAACUCUGGAGAGUCCCGCAAGGGCGCCGAAGGUGCACGAUGGCCGCACGCCAUCUUAUCUCUCAGGCAAAAGGACAGAGUCU
RNAcentral lists this non-coding RNA (86 nucleotides) under uncultured Succiniclasticum sp. RNAcentral's name for it is "Glycine riboswitch". It matches the Rfam family "Glycine riboswitch aptamer", at positions 8 to 87 of the family's 94-position model. Rfam says of the family: This family represents the bacterial glycine riboswitch. Glycine riboswitches usually consist of two metabolite-binding aptamers domains with similar structures in tandem. The record is from RNAcentral. Lineage: Bacteria; Bacillati; Bacillota; Negativicutes; Acidaminococcales; Acidaminococcaceae.